AUCUUCUUCACAAGACCUAGUAAUAGGUAUGCUUUAGGAGGGGCUUGCGCCAUAUUAGUUAGUUGGUAGGGUAAUGGCCUACCAAGACGAUGAUGUGUAGCUGGACUGAGAGGUUGAACAGCCACAUUGGGACUGAGACACGGCCCAAACUCCUACGGGAGGCAGCAGUAGGGAAUYUUCGGCAAUGGAGGAAACUCUGACCGAGCAACGCCGCGUGAAUGACGAAGUACUUCGGUAUGUAAAGUUCUUUUAUCAAGGAAGAAAAGCAAAUGGCGAACCAUUUGUUUGCCGGUACUUGAUGAAUAAGCCCCGGCUAAUUAUGUGCCAGCAGCCGCGGUAAGACAUAAGGGGCAAGUGUUAUCCGGAAUUAUUGSGCGUAAAGGGUGCGUAGGCGGUCUAGUAAGUCAGUGGUGUAAUGGCAACGCUUAACGUUGUCCGGCUAUUGAAACUGCUAAACUUGAGUUAGAUAGAGGCGAGUGGAAUUCCAUGUGUAGCGGUAAAAUGCGUAAAUAUAUGGAGGAACACCAGAGGCGUAGGCGGCUCGCUGGGUCUUAACUGACGCUGAGGCACGAAAGCGUGGGGAGCAAACAGGAUUAGAUACCCUGGUAGUCCACGCCGUAAACGAUGAGUACUAAGUGUCGGGUUAAACCGGUACUGAAGUUAACACAUUAAGUACUCCGCCUGAGUAGUACGUACGCAAGUAUGAAACUUAAAGGAAUUGACGGGACUCCGCACAAGCGGUGGAUCAUGUUGUUUAAUUCGAAGAUACCCGAAAAACCUUACCAGGUCUUGACAUGUUUUUGCAAAAUGAUAGUAAUAUCGUGGAGGUUACCAGAAACACAGGUGGUGCAUGGUUGUCGUCAGCUCGUGUCGUGAGAUGUUAGGUUAAGUCCUAAAACGAGCGAAACCCUUAUCGUUAGUUGCCAGCACGUUAUGGUGGGGACUUUAACGAKACUGCCAAUGAUAAAUUGGAGGAAGGUGASGAUCACGUCAAAUCAKCAUGCCCCUUAUGACCUGGGCUACAARCGUGAUACAAUGGCUGUUACAAAGGGUAGCUGAAACGCAAGUUCUUGGCCAAUCCCCAAAAACAGUCCCAGUCCGGAUUGAAGUCUGCAACUCGACUUCAUGAAGUUGGAAUCGCUAGUAAUCGCGAAUCAGCA
Molecule: ribosomal RNA, 1160 nt
Filed under: Candidatus Phytoplasma citri
Lineage: Bacteria; Bacillati; Mycoplasmatota; Mollicutes; Acholeplasmatales; Acholeplasmataceae
Description: bacterial SSU rRNA
Source: RNAcentral